GAUGAACGCUGGCGGUCUGCUUAACACAUGCAAGUCGAACGGGUGUAGCAAUACAUUAGUGGCGGACGGGUGAGUAACGCGUGAGAAUCUACCUUCAGGACGGAGACAACAGUUGGAAACGACUGCUAACCCCCGAUGUACCGCAAGGGCAAAUAUUUAUAGCCUGAAGAAGAGCUUGCGUCCGAUUAGCUAGUUGGGGGGGUAAAGGCCCACCAAGGCGACGAUCGGUAGCUGGUCUGAGAGGACGAUCAGCCACACUGGGACUGAGACACGGCCCAGACUCCUACGGGAGGCAGCAGUGGGGAAUUUUCCGCAAUGGGCGCAAGCCUGACGGAGCAAGACCGCGUGGGGGAAGAAGGCUCUUGGGUUGUAAACUCCUUUUCUCUGGGAAGAACAAAAUGACGGUACCAGAGGAAUCAGCAUCGGCUAACUCCGUGCCAGCAGCCGCGGUAAGACGGAGGAUGCAAGCGUUAUCCGGAAUGAUUGGGCGUAAAGCGUCCGCAGGUGGCAGUUCAAGUCUGCUGUCAAAGACCGGGGCUUAACCUCGGAAAGGCAGUGGAAACUGAACAGCUAGAGUAUGGUAGGGGCAAAGGGAAUUCCUGGUGUAGCGGUGCAAUGCGUAGAGAUCAGGAAGAACAUCGGUGGCGAAGGCGCUUUGCUGGACCAUAACUGACACUCAGGGACGAAAGCUAGGGGAGCGAAUGGGAUUAGAUACCCCAGUAGUCCUAGCCGUAAACGAUGGAUACUAGGUGUUGUCUGUAUCGACCCGGACAGUGCCGUAGCUAACGCGUUAAGUAUCCCGCCUGGGGAGUACGCACGCAAGUGUGAAACUCAAAGGAAUUGACGGGGGCCCGCACAAGCGGUGGAGUAUGUGGUUUAAUUCGAUGCAACGCGAAGAACCUUACCAGGACUUGACAUGUCGCGAAUCCUCCUGAAAGGGAGGAGUGCCUUCGGGACCGCGAACACAGGUGGUGCAUGGCUGUCCUCAGCUCCUGUCCUGAGAUGUUGGGUUAAGUCCCGCAACGAGCGCAACCCUCGUGUUUAGUUGCCAUCAUUCAGUUGGGCACUCUAAACAGACUGCCGGUGACAAACCGGAGGAAGGUGGGGAUGACGUCAAGUCAGCAUGCCCCUUACGUCCUGGGCUACACACGUACUACAAUGGUAGGGACAGAGGGCAGCCAACUCGCGAGAGUGAGCUAAUCCCGUAAACCCUGCCUCAGUUCAGAUUGCAGGCUGCAACUCGCCUGCAUGAAGGCGGAAUCGCUAGUAAUCGCAGGUCAGCAUACUGCGGUGAAUCCGUUCCCGGGCCUUGUACACACCGCCCGUCACACCAUGGAAGUUGGCCACGCCCGAAGUCAUUACUCUAACCCGCAAGGGGGGAAGGAUGCCGAAGGCAGGGCUGAUGACUGGGGUGAAGUCGUAACAAGGUAGCCGUACCGGAAGGUGUGGCUGGAUCACCUCCUUU
This 1465-nucleotide ribosomal RNA is filed under the name uncultured cyanobacterium. RNAcentral's name for it is "bacterial SSU rRNA". It matches the Rfam family "Bacterial small subunit ribosomal RNA". The record is from RNAcentral. Lineage: Bacteria; Bacillati; Cyanobacteriota.